GACGAACGCUGGCGGCGCGCUUAACACAUGCAAGUCGAGCGAUGAAACUUUAACAGAACCCUUCGGGGCGAAGAUAAAGUGGAUUAGCGGCGGACGGGUGAGUAACACGUGAGUAACCUGCCUUAGACAUUGGGAUAGCCUCGGGAAACCGGGAUUAAUACCAAAUAAAAUCAUAAUGACACAUGUCAUAACGAUCAAAACUCCGGUGGUCUAAGAUGGACUUGCGUCCGAUUAGCUAGUUGGUAGAGUAAAAGCCUACCAAGGCGAGGAUGGGUAGCCGGGCGGAGAGGGUGACAGGCCGCAAUGGAACUGAGAACCGGACCAAACUCCGACGGGAGGCAGCAGUAGGGAAUAUUACACAAUGGAGGGAACUCUGAUGCAGCGACGCCGCGUGAACGAAGAAGGCGUUCGAGUCGUAAAGUUCUUUUAUAUGGGAAGAUAAUGACGGUACCAGAAGAAAAAGCCCCGGCUAACUACGUG
RNAcentral lists this ribosomal RNA (480 nucleotides) under uncultured bacterium. RNAcentral's name for it is "partial 16S ribosomal RNA". It matches the Rfam family "Bacterial small subunit ribosomal RNA", at positions 28 to 507 of the family's 1533-position model. The record is from RNAcentral.